Molecule: ribosomal RNA, 483 nt
Filed under: uncultured bacterium
Lineage: Bacteria
Description: partial 16S ribosomal RNA
Rfam family: Bacterial small subunit ribosomal RNA
Source: RNAcentral
AUUGAACGCUGGCGGCAGGCCUAACACAUGCAAGUCGAGCGGAUGAAGGGAGCUUGCUCCUGGAUUCAGCGGCGGACGGGUGAGUAAUGCCAGGAAAUUGGCCGGGUAGGGGGGGAAAAGGUCCGAAAACGGGGGCAAUAACAAAAAAGUUCCGAGGGAGGAAGGGGGGGAACCUUGGAACCUACCGCAAUCGGAGAAGCUAGGUCGGAUUAGCUAGUUGGUGGGGUAAAGGCCUACCAAGGCGACGAUCCGUAACUGGUCUGAGAGGAUGAUCAGUCACACUGGAACUGAGACACGGUCCAGACUCCUACGGGAGGCAGCAGUGGGGAAUAUUGGACAAUGGGCGAAAGCCUGAUCCAGCCAUGCCGCGUGUGUGAAGAAGGUCUUCGGAUUGUAAAGCACUUUAAGUUGGGAGGAAGGGCAGUAAGUUAAUACCUUGCUGUUUUGACGUUACCAACAGAAUAAGCACCGGCUAACUUCGUG